This 175-nucleotide long non-coding RNA is filed under the name Polistes fuscatus (common paper wasp). RNAcentral's name for it is "uncharacterized LOC122526488". Lineage: Eukaryota; Metazoa; Arthropoda; Insecta; Hymenoptera; Vespidae. The record is from RNAcentral.
AAUGCAUAUAUUCAUUUUUUCUUUUCUUAAAGUUCUAUGCCAACUUUUUUGCGCUACCUUAUUGACGUCGCUGUAAGAAAACGAACUCUACAAAGUUUCAAGGAAUUCAACGAAGGGAGUACUCCUCCCGCGUCUACGUCAGUGGAACUUGGAAUUUCGCUGAUCAAUACGCAGG